UCCAUUUCUUCUAGAUUUUCUAGUUUAUUUGCGUAGAGGUGUUUGUAGUAUUCUCUGAUGGCAGUUUGUAUUUCUGUGGAUCGGUGCUGAUAUCCCCUUUGUCAUUUUUUAUUGUGUCUAUUUGAUUCUUCUUUUUUUCUUUAUUAGUCUUGCUAGCGGUCUAUCAAUUUUGUUGAUCCUUUCAAAAAUCCAGCUCCUGGAUUCACUGAUUUUUUGAAGGGGUUUUUUGUGUCUCUAUUUCCUUCAGUUCUGCUCUGAUUUUAGUUAUUUCUUGCCUUCUGCUAGCUUUUGAAUGUGUUUGUUUGCUCUUGCUUUUCUAGUUCUUUUAAUUGUGAUGUUAGGGUGUCAAUUUUGGAUCUUUCCUGCUUUCUCUUGUGGGCAUUUAGUGUUAUAAAUUUCCCUCUACACACUGCUUUGAAUGUGUCCCAGAGAUUCUGGUAUGCUGUGUCUUUGUUCUCAUUGGUUUCAAAGAACAUCUUUAUUUCUACCUUCAUUUUGUUAUGUACCCAACCACCCCAAAUCAACAGAAUAUACAUUUUUUCAGCACCACACCUAUUCCAAAAUUGACCACAUAGUUGGAAGUAAAGCUCUCCUCAGCAAAUGUAAAAGAUCAGAAAUUAUAACAAACUGUCUCUCAGCCCACAGUGCAAUCAAACUAGAACUCAGGAUUAAGAAACUCACUCAAAACUGCUCAGCUACAUGGAAACUGAACAACCUGCUCCUAAUAAUAUGUAAUUUUAAUUUGGAUUAAGAUGCCAUAGAGAUCAAUGUUAAUUAGGAUAAUAUAAAAAAGCCAUAACAUAUGCUGUCUUUAAAAUUCAAGUAAAAUAGCAUUUAAAUAACAUCUUUUUAUUAUGGUUAUGAUAUGUAUUCAUACACAUUAUGUAAUUUUAUUUUUGAGCAGUUAUUUUUAUCAUUAGAGAUUUUCCACUGAAAGAUACAGAAGACUAAUAGAAUUCAAUAACAUAUAUUCAUAUAUUUCAUUAAAAACUACUAACAUAUAUACUUCCACCAAAAGUAUAAGAACUCGUUUAUUAGGCUUCUUUGUAUGUUGCUGACAUUCAUGUGAAGCAUAACACUAUUACAGUUCAUAUUGUCUUACCUGAAUUAAUAUACCAUCAACACAUCACUGUUUAUUUUUAAUAGCUCCCACAUAUCAGGUACCUUAUGUGCAUUAUUACUCAUCCUUAUAACCAUCAUUUAUUAUCUCCAUUUUACAAAGAAUUUCUUCUUUCUUUUCAGUUAAAUGACUGUUGACUGUUUGAAGCCAGACAAAUAUUAACUUUUGGAGGAAGAAAAACAUGUAGUGUGUCUAGUCCCAAAGUCCAGUUUCUUUAGUUUUCAAAAAAAAUUAUUUUAAUUGAGAAAAAUACAUAUUUAUCGUGUACAUGUUUUUAAAUAUUUAUACAUUGUGGAAUAUUUAUACAUUGUGGGAUGGCUAAGUGGAGCUAAUUUAUAUAUACAUAAAUAUAUAAAAAAAUAUAUAAAACCUCCCAAAAUUAUCUUUUUUUUGUGGUGAGAACAUCUAAAAUAUUUUUUAGCAUUUUUCAAGAAUAUAAUACACUGUUAUUAACUAUAGUUGCCAUGCUGUACAAUAGAUCUCUUGAACUCAUUUCUCCUAACUGAAAUUCUGUAUCCUUUGACCAACAUUUCCCCAGUCCCCCAUCACCCCAUACCCUGGUAAUCACCAUUCUAUUCUCUACUUCUGUGAAUUCAACUGUUCAAGAUUUCACAUAUAAGUGAGAUCAUGCGGUAUUGGUCUUUCCGUGCCUGGCUUAUUUCACAUAACACAAUGUUCAUCUAUAUUGCAAAUGACAGGAUUUCUGCCUUUUUAAAGGCAAUUAGUAUUGUGAAUAUAUACUGCAUUUUCUUUAUCCAUUCAUCUACUGGCCUUUAGGUUGAUUCCAUGUCUUGGCGUUUUGAAUAAUGGUGUAUUGAAAAUGAGAAUGCAGAUAUCUCACUGAUGUCAUUUCCUUUGGAUAUAUACCCAGGCGUGGGAUUGCUAGAUCAUAUGGUAGUUCUAUUUUUAACUUUUUGAGGAACUUCCACACUGUUCUCUAUAACGACUGCACUAAUUUACAUUCCUACCAACAGUGUGCAAGGGUUCCCUUUGAAGUCUACGUUCUUUCCUAUCAAACCUAUUAUUGAUUUCUAUUACCGUUAUAGCAAUAUUACAAAGGAGAGCAUUGCACUGCUUUUGUAAAUGCCCAUACAGCAAAUCAUACUGUUUAUAGAAAUUGUUCUCAUAUCUGGCUGGGCACAGUGGCUCACGCCUGUAAUCCCAGCACUUUGGGAGGUCAAGGCGGGCGGAUCAUGAGGUCAGGAGAGAGAGACCAUCCUGGCUAACACAGUGAAACCCUGUCUCUACUAAAAAUACAAAAAGAUUAGCUGGGUGUGGUGGCGGGCGCCUGUGGUCCCAGCUACUUGGGAGGCUGAGGCAGGAGAAUGGUGUGAACCUGGGAGGUGGAGCUUGCAGUGAGCCAAGACUGCAUCAGUGCACUCCAGCCUGGACAACAGAGCAAGACUCUGCCUCAAAACAAACAAAAAAUAAAAAAAAAAACUGUUCUCACAUCUAAAAUACUCUGCUAGGACAAAUUUAACUAACCAUGGGUAAGAACUACAAAGGUGUGCUUUCUAUUAAAUAACUCUCAUUUGUAAACUGAUUCACAAAUGCCUUCAAAAGAUUUAAGAAAAGUGUUACAUACUGGCCACACGUUUGUAGGAGAGAUGCUCAAAUACAUGUGGUUAUUCAACAAAUAUUAGCUGAUGAAGGUCAAACCCCAAAUUCAAAUGUCACCAUUUUUAAUGGCUAAAUGAAAUGAUGCUAGAUCUUAGUAAGAAAAAUUAAGAGAAAAUUUGUCUGAGAUCAUUAGGCACUCAUUUAACUUACUGAGGUGAAUCAUCAGAAAUAGUUUAUCUUUAAAUAAAGAGAUUUGGUGACAGGACCUGCAACUCUUCGUGUGAUCUGAUCCCUUAAUUUCUCUACCAUUACAUACCUUUUUCAAUGUCACCCACAUUCACCUCAUUUUGGUCCCUAGGAAGCAUUUUAUAGCUCAAGGAUGCUACUCUUUACACAUGGUAUUGUCUCUGCCAGAAAGGAUUCUGCCCACAAGCAAUUACUGCUUGCCCCUUCCCGCCCCCCCAAUCCUGCCAAUUUUGCUUCUUCCUCCCUCCUUUUCAGAAGUAUCUGAAUUAAAUUGUGGUUUCAAGGCUUUCCUGUCCAAUCCUAUUUCUUCCCCUUUCAUCUUUUAUAGGUGUUAAUUCCCAACACACUUCUCGCGCUUCUCACUCCAUAUGCUUGGGUCAUCCUAUCCAGCCAGGGUCAUAUAUACUCUUGGUGUUAGGAGAAAGUACAUAGUGUGGAAUUUAUGGCAAUGCCAAUGUGAAAAUCACUGGAGGUUCCUGGAGUUUUAGAGCCUCUAGUAACCUGCACUGGAGAGUGACAAGUGUUUGAAAAGUAGCUCCUGGUACUAGACCUGGUAGAGAAGAAACACUUGACACCAGUGGCCAGGCAUCCAGAACUGCUUAUUUUGGGUUGGGUUCCAUGGAAGCCACUAACUCAAAAAAUCAGGUGGGUCAGCAGCUGUCUCCUUGUGAUGGGAAGGGCACAUAUGAUAUUGACCUGAGCAAGACCAGUUAACAAGAGGUAACUGCAAGAGCAGGUAGCCUAGGCUCUCAUGUUACCCACCAGAGUGGAACUGCUGUCCUUCCUCAGUUCGUACCUAUGGCCACAGGGAAGAGUGGUUUCCUUAUGCCCACGUGAAGGAGAAAAAAACCCUGAGCUUUGUUUUUGGAAGAGUUGGCUCCUAUGUGGUUGCAAGGUUGAAAGGGACAGCAGCUGUAUUGUAUGUGCAUUAUAGCCACAUUCAGAGUUGGCUUUGAAAGACAGUGGUUAGGGACUAUUUUCCCAAUGGGUAGAGCUGAGUGAUGAUGCAUGUUACACACUUUGCUCAGAAAGAAAAGUGGCCCAUAGCUGGGUGCAGUGGCUCGUGUCUGUAAUCCCAGCACUUUGGGAGGCCGAUGUGGUGGAUCACUUGAGGUCAGGAGUUUGAGACCAGCCUAGCCAACAUGGCAAAAGCCCAUCUCUACUAAAAAUACAAAAAUUAGCUGGGCAUGGUGGUGCAUGCCUGUAAUCCCAGUUACUCGGAAGGCUAAGGCAGAAGAAUCGCUUGAAUCCAGGAGGCAGAGGUUGCAAUGAGCAGAGAUCCUGCCACUGCACUCCAGCCUGGGCAAUAGAGCAAGACUCUGUCUCAAAAAAAAAAAAAAAAAGAGGCCCACAGUGAGAAUAUACAUAGACUGAUGAUCAAUAGCAAAUAGACUACUGUACUUGUCAGGGCCAUGGGAUAAAACAUUUCAAAGCUUCAGGGACAAGGAAGGGAUACGGGAUUAGGCAUACUAUGUGGAGAUCUUUCUGUCACUUGGUAAUGCUUACCAGAAGCAUCACUUUAGAAUGCUACGUAGCCAAAAGGACCCUUCGAGUUGAUGUUAGCAAUCCUUUGGCAUCAACCAUCCCAUACCUGGCAUUAUGGGCACAUAAACAGAGUACCCAUGGUCAGAGAAAGUGGCCAUGGAAAGGCCCAAGAGUAUGGCCUCCUUAUUGCCAAAGCUGAUCUACCCACUGCUUCCUCUGAAUGUUGAACUGCCAGCAACAGAGACCAACUCUGAGCUCCUGAUAAGGGAUUAUCCUCAAGGGGACCAACCACUUACCUGUAGUAAAUGAAUGAAAACUGAGCUUCUACCUUCCUGGAGGGCAAAAUAUUUCACUCUCACAAAAACACACACCCAUAAUGGUUAUUCUCACUAAAAUACAAUUAAUUACCUAGGGCAUCGAGGAUUUAUGAAUUUGCUUUUAUGACUCUCUGAGCUUGAGCCACCAGCUAUACCCAAGGAUUUACAGACUGCAUUCACUCAGUCUCUGAUCAAGGAAACCACUUCUCAACAAAGCAGGAGUGGAAAUGGGUGCCUACCCAUGGGCUGCAUCAUGUACUGCACCACCUAGAAGCUGCUGGCCUGGCCUGAUAGCACAAAGGAAUGGCUGGCUGAAGGCACAGCUUGGAGGCACUAGUCUGUGAGGAUGGGGGUCAUCCUUUAGGAUGCAGUAGAUACACUGAAGAAGAGCUUCCUACAUGUUAUUGUGUCCCCAUUGGAAGAAUGGAAACUUAGGGGUAAAAGCAAGAGUUUCUCCACUUGUCAUCGCUUCUAAUAACCUGAUGAAAUCCUUUAUGAUUUAUGUUCCCACAGCUCUAGGUUUUUCAUGGUCAGGGGUCCUUGUCCCCAAAGGGACAAGGACAGAGGAUACAGCAAUGGUCCCAUUGAGCUACAAGCUAUGGCUACUCUCUGGCCACUUUGGACUCUUUUGUCCAGGGACAAAAAGGCAGGAAGAGGAGUUACCAUCUUGACAAAGGUAGUUGCCACUAAACUUCAAGAGAAGGCAGAGCUGCUGGAAGUCAGGAUGGCAGUAAGGAGCAUGUAUUGCCCUCGUGUAUGUGCCAUAAGAGGGCGAAAGGAAUUAUAUGUAGACCUCAGGUGAUCUACUUGAGGUCUUCUUGGAAGUCUCUCUGCCAAUUGUGACUAAAAACAAACAAGUGUAGCAAUACUGGCCUGAAGCAGAUGUGGUUGCCAGGGGCCCUGACUCUCUCAGGAAUGAGAUUUGGAUUCACCAACAGGAAACCACUGAGACCACCAGACAGGAAAGCUGAGAAGAGGAAUGUAAAAUGGUCAGUGGAAGAAGAUGAGUACCAGUUGGCCUUGAGACCAACUCCAGUGAACGGAGAUGUCAUGUAUCCCUCUAACCUCUCUCCUUUAAGUCUUUCUUCAGGAAGAAAGGCACAUGGGAACCCCAGAGGAGUGACUCCCAGAUGUAUAUGGAGAAAUGGAUCUGCAGUAUGAGAGGAGAGUGGAGCAUCUAAUUGUGCACUGCACACAUUUUCCAUCAAGAAGGAACUUGAUGUUUAGCUGUGAGGGGUGCAGGUAGCUGACAGCCUCCAGCUUCAGUGGAUUUGCGAUCUGCUACAAUGCAUGAGCCAAGGCCACAUUCUUCCUGGAUAUCCCCCAACCCCACUAAUGACAGCACAGUGGAGGUACUAGUGCUUGGCCACUUGUGCCCAACACAAAACUCUCAAAGGACAGGCUGUGUUCUGAAGUUUUGUAUGGAUUUGGUCAAGACUUUGUAGAGCGUAUCAUUCUGGGUUUUCUUCCUGAUCUUACUUCCUCUUUUAUUUUCUUUUACAAGUGUUAUCUCCCCUUUCCCUUAAACAAUAACAACAACAACAAAAUGCACAAAAAGCCCAAACCAAAACUCUUGUACUUCUCAAUCCAUCUUAGAAUCUACUUCCCAGUGAAGCUGAGAUGACACAUAUGUUGUUUUGGCAUGCUAGGCUUUUCCUUUUUGGCUACUAACAUAACAUUAAUUAAUGCAUUAAUUUUGUAACAAUUUACUUACAUUGUCUACUACAACAAACUCUUUGACAGCAACUGCUAGAUCUGUCUUUUUUCACAAUUGUAUUCCCAGGGCCUAGUAUAGGGCCAACUACUCAGUAACUAUUCCCAACCCCUGGUGGACUGUACCUAUAUUUGUAUUUGGCCAUCCUGAGUGUACUAUUCCAAUUUGUGCCAGGUGUGGGAUGUGUGUUAAGAAGGUCUUCCACAAGCCUCACUCAUUGCAUUUGACAGCCCAGAUCAUUUCUGCUAAGUCAGUGGUUCUCAAAUGUUAGCCUGCAUCAGAACCACCUGGAGAGCUUGUUUAAACACAAGACAGCUGAGUCCUACUCCCAGAGUUUCUGACUUAGCAGGUCAGGGUGGAACCUGAUAAUGUCCAUUUCUGACACGUUUCCAGAUGCUGCUGCUCUUCUGGCCAGGACCACCAUUUGUAAAUCUCUGCCCUAGGCCCCUGGCCUCCACUUAUUAGCAGAUGAACCCAGCCUCUUUCUUAAUUGCCUUCACUUUCUUAAUUGCCUUCAUGUGCUCUUGCUGUUUCACCCAUCUUAUCAAUGCUCACACACCCCAGAGCACUGCCCACUAUGUGUUUGCCUUUUCCCUGGGCAACCUCAGCCUCAGGCAUAGCUUCCACCCCACCCCCCGCCCGCAAGUGACUAUAUCUCACAUUCUUGUCUUAAGCCCAUGUUUGCUCUUCGUUUCAGGGUCAAACUUCCAUCUACUAGUUAAAAAAAAAAAGGGGGGGAAAGGAUUCCCUAUUGAAUAAAUGGUUCUGGGAAAACUGGCUAGCCAUAAGUAGAAAGCUGAAACUGGAUCCCUUCCUUACACCUUAUACAAAAAUUAAUUCAAGAUGGAUUGAAGACUUAAAUGUUAGACCUAAAACCAUAAAAACCCUAGAAGAAAACCUAGGCAAUACCAUUCAGGACAUAGGCAUGGGCAAGGACUUCAUGUCUAAAACACCAAAAGCAAUGGCAACACAAGCCAAAAUUGACAAAUGGGAUCUAAUUAAACUAAAAAGCUUCUGCACAGCAAAAGAAACUACCAUCAGAGUGAACAGGCAACCUACAGAAUGGGAGAAAAUUUUUUACAGAAUGGGAGAAAAUUUUUGCAAUCUACUCAUCUGACAAAGGGCUAACAUCCAGAAUCUACAAUGAACUCAAACAAAUUCACAAGAAAAAAACAACCCCAUCAAAAAGUGGGUGAAGGAUAUGAACAGACACUUCUCAAAAGAAGACAUUUAUGCAGCCAACAGACACAUGAAAAAAUGCUCACCAUCACUGACCAUCAGAGAAAUGCAAAUCAAAACCACAAUGAGAUACCAUCUCACACCAGUUAGAAUGGCAAUCAUUAAAAAGUCAGGAAACAACAGGUGCUGGAGAGGAUGUGGAGAAAUAGGAACACUUUUACACUGUUGGUGGGAAUGUAAACUAGUUCAACCAUUGUGGAAGUCAGUGUGGCGAUUCCUCAGGGAUCUAGAACUAGGAAUACCAUUUGACCCAGCCAUCCCAUUACUGGGUAUAUACCCAAAGGAUUAUAAAACAUGCUGCUAUAAAGACACAUGCACACGUAUGUUUAUUGCGGCACUAUUCACAAUAGCAAAGACUUGGAACCAACCGAAAUGUCCAACAAUGAGGCUGGAUUAAGAAAAUGUGGCACAUAUACACCAUGGAAUACUAUGCAGCCAUAAAAAAUGAGUUCAUGUCCUUUGCAUGGACAUGGAUGAAGCUGGAAACCAUCAUUCUCAGCAAACUAUCACAAGGACAAAAAACCAAACAAACACUGCAUGUUCUCACUCAUAGAUGGGAAUUGAACAAUGAGAACACAUGGACACAGGAAGGGGAACAUCACACACCGGGGCCUGUUGUGGGGUGGGGGGAGUGGGGAGGGAUAGCAUUAGGAGAUAUACCUGAUGUUAAAUGAUGAGUUAAUGGGUGCAGCACACCAACCUGGCACAUGUAUACAUAUGUAACUAACCUGCACGUUGUGCACAUGUACCCUAAAACCUAAAGUAUAAAAAAAGUUGGAGUGAGAAAAUACUAUCUGCAAGUUUAUGUAGUAAAACUCUACAAAGUUAAUCUUAAAAAAAAAAGCUGCAUCGUCUAUAGGGGGAUCCUCGUUUACAUUAACAGCAGCAAGAAAAAUGGAUGACAACCACUUUGAACCUCAGUUUUCUCAUUUGUAAAAAUGAGAACAAGAAUACUUAUCACCCAUAAAGAAUUGUCAUUAAGGUCAAAUAAGCAAAUGAAUAUGGGGCCAGAAAAUAUAGCUGACAAAAUGUAAGAUACUAAGCAGUGGAUGGAGCUGGAGGCCGUUAUUCUAAAUGAAGUAACUCACUUAUUAUUUGAAAACCAAAUAUUGUAUGUUCUCAGUUGUAAGUGGGAACCAAGCCAUGGGCAUGCAAAGGCAUACAGAGUGGUAUAAUGGACAUUGGAGACUCAGGAGUGGGUGGGGAGAGGAGAAGGAGGGAUAAAAAAACUACAUGUUGGGUACAAUGUAUACUACUCGGGGGGCUGUUACACUAACAUCUCAGAUUUCACCACUAUGCAAUUCAUUCAUGUAAUAAAAAACCACAUGUACCCUAAAAGCUAUUGAAAUAAAAAAAAUCUUAAAAAAACCAAUAUAUUAAGUGAUGUCCAUAAUAGGCAAAUGAUCAAAUGUGUGCCAGUUAUACUUUGGGGGAAUAAAGGGAAACAUGUUUAAUUGCAUAGGAUUUUUAAAUAGCUCUAUUUUUCUAAAAUGUAUCUUUCCUUAGUACCCUUCCCCUACAAAGGGGACUAUAUAAAUUUAGAAUCUUCUGUUUAAAGUUCCACAAAAAUGGUAUUUUUUCCUCUCCAGAAAAAAAAUACAGAAAAGCUGUUUCAAAACCAAAAUCUCCUUAUUUUCCCAGAAUAGAAUGAGGCAAGUAUUUAGUACUUUAUAUCUGUUAUUAGAUAGUAUAUUUUUAUUUCACUAUUUAUAUAAAAGCUAGAAAGCUCAGGAAAAACUGCUGAAGCUAUCUAUCAUGAAUGUAAUUUUCUUAGUCAAUAAAACCCAGAAGAAAUAGUAAACUCAAUAUCCUACAACAAAUACAUCUAGAAAAUAAGUUCUUUAUCAAAAUGCAUUCUUGCUUCCUUCAAGUAUGGUCUAAAGUGGUAAACUAUUAUCACAGGAGAAAACAACUAUUUUUGAGCCAUUAAUGUCUGACAGUUCCAGAAUGCAACAAUUAAAAAUUGUUACCAACUUGUGACAAUUCCAUUAUAUACAUGGCUAAAAAGUUUUCCUGGGAGAGUGUACAAAAUAUGUUACCAAACCUAUCAAAAGCAAGCCAUGCAAUAAAAAAUGACUGAAUAAUAAUAAUAAAAAAAAGACCCACACACAAAAGAAGAAAAAAAGAGAAGCCCUUUCGAAAUAGGGAAAACAUUUCAUAAAUUCCUUGAAGACAAGAUUUGGCUCUUAGAAAGCAUGCCUACCAUACAAUCAACGCUGUGCAUUGCUAUUACCAUCUUUUGCCUCAGUAACAGCUACUGAGCUAAAAGACUACUCCAGCUAAAAGACCACAGGUAACCUUUGCAGCUGACCUAUGAAACAAAGAUUUCCAAUUUCAGCUGUCACUUUCAUAGAGUAGCACAAUUAAAACAACAGAAACGCUUAACAUUUAAUUUUCUGAACAUCAGAUAUAAUGCUACAAAUGGGUGGGAAAUGCAAACUUGGGAAAACAAAUAAAUUAAUAAGGACAUGAAUGACUGUACUCAAUACCAAAUAUAUUAUUCUCAUUUUACAGAGGAAGAAACUAAAAUCGAGAGAGGUUAAUAAUUGUGCCCGAGGCUACACAGCUACUAAGCAAACCAGAUCUAUGCUCAAAGCCCAUGCAGGACUGUAACCACGGUACUCCACUUCCUUCUUAGCUUUAUACUAAGCUAUGCCAUUUGCCCCAGGGCUGGCUUAAAGGCCAGCCACAUUCCCUACACUUCACCACUAAUAACAUUUAGGAUUACAGUUCCUCUUAUGCCCUAUAAAUAAAACAAGAACAGAUAUUUAACAUCUGCACUAAAGCUGUGGAAUAACAUGCUGUUAUACUUGAAAGGAAUAUAUAUAAAGCCUGACUGAAGGUCUGAUGUAAGCUUCUAAACACCAAAGUAUGAUCAUAACCUAAUGGGGGUUCUUCCUGAACUUCCCUGAAGCACUGUGAUCCUCUGAGUCAUUCUAAAACAGUCUUAGAGAAUAAAUGGCUGCAAGCAUGAAAGACAAGCUCUAUAUACUAAACAAAAAGUUGAUCUAAUUUAAUGGUGUCAUAAUUUUAAAAAUUGUGUUGAUUGCAAAUUUUUUUUUUUUUUUUUUUGAGAGACAAGGUCUUGCUCUGUCUCCUUGGCUGGAGUGCACUGGUGUGAUCAUGGCUCACUGCAGCCUCGACUUCCUGGGCUCAAGUGAUCCUCCUGCCUCAACUUCCUGAGUAGCUGGGACUACAGGAGUGCAACACCAUGUCCAGAUAUUUUUUGUAGUUUUUGUAGAGACAGGGUUACACCAUGUUUCCCAGGCUGGCCUUGAGCUCCUGGUCUCAAGUGAUCCUCCUGCCUCAGCUUCCCAAAGUCCUGGGACUAUAGGCAUGAGCCACUGCACUUGGUCACAAAUUCUUUUUUUUUUUUUUUUUGAGAUGGAGUCUUGCUCUGUCACCCAGGCUGGAGUACAGUGGCACAAUCUAGGCUCACUGCCUCCCGGGUUCAAGUAAUUCUUCUGCCUCUGCCUCCCAACCAGCUGGGACUACAGGCACACCCCAUCAUGCCCGGGGUAAUUUUUGUAUUUUUAGUAGAGACGGGGUGUCACCAUGUUGGCCAGGCUGGUCUUGAACUCCUGACCUCAUGAUUCAUCUGCCUCGGCCUCCCAAAGUGCUGGGAUUACAGGCAUGAGCUACCACGCCCGGCCACAAAUUCAUUUUUAAAAACUCACCAAUUCUUUUUAAUUUGGGACAGACGUUUAUUAUCAAUAUGAAACAUGCCCUUUUCUAAGUAUUUGUUUUCUGAAAAAAAAAUACAUAUUUAAAUAUCUGGGGCAGAAAUUAAUGGAAAAUUUCAAGAUGCGACAAUGUUUAGUUCCCAAAGGCAUUUGUUCAAUUGUUUGAUAAUUGUAAUGCAAUUCAUUUGCCGUAUGAAAUGAAACAGUUUUUGAGUAAGAGUUAUCUAAGUUGUAGGAGUAACAAUUAUUUCUCAGCUCUAUCAACACAGAGAUUUCGCAAACUGGGGCCCUGUUGUCCAUCAAGGCAGCCACACACCACCGCAGCACCACAGCAGUCUCUGUGGUUGGACCGCUUCUCUCCCAUUAGGGGCAACAGAACUGGGACUCUGGCAUUUCAGAACAGAAUAGGAUACAGGUUUCUCCCAUCUUCCUGCAAUAGACUUAAAAUAAAAAGUCC
Molecule: long non-coding RNA, 11821 nt
Filed under: Homo sapiens (human)
Lineage: Eukaryota; Metazoa; Chordata; Mammalia; Primates; Hominidae
Description: HSALNT0349352
Source: RNAcentral